CCGAGUUACACGUCUUCUGGGUCUCCUUGUUCUUAGACACUGUACUCAGAUACUGUCCUCAGCCCAAAGCGCCUCGUUGUCCGCCCACCCCCUGGGCAUUGUCACCUAUGAGCUCGCCUCGCCUCAUCUCUACCUCUGAGGCUGGAGGGCGCCCUCACAUCUGCGAUCCGUGUGGAACAUCUGAUGCACCUGAAGGAUCCCUUCACAUAUGUGCCCCUGGCAGCCUCAGGACCCCCUGCACUGAUCUGGGUGCGCUGCCCCAUUUAUGAUCACAUGUCAGGGCAUCUGACAACCUGUGCUGACCACCCCAGAGCACUGUUAAGGGCCACCAUUGGCCCAUGGGGCGGGGAGCACUGCAGCCUCCCCCAGAGCUAGCAGAGAAUCUUUGUGUCACCUUUUUAUUUCUUUCUCCAUUAGACCUGGCUUCUAGACUUUUCUUGUGUUUGGAUCCAAAGGAUAUUGUUCGGUCACCUGUGGUCAGCGAGCAGGUGACGAUGAUCUCAGGGCCAAGGAUGCCAGAGGCCAAGUCCAAGCUGGAGCUGCAUGUCUCAGGCUGCCAGGUGUCUGUGCUCCUGGGCGGAGCCUGGGGAGAGGGCAGAGGGGUGACACAGAGGAGGCUGGGGCUGUGGUGCAGGGCAGGGAAUCCAGUCCAGCUCCUGUCUCUCAGGUUCAGAAGUGUCUAGCUUUGCCUUUGCAGGUGAGCAGGCAAGGGUGAGGGCAGGGAUUGGCAUGGUUUGGAGGAAAGGAAGAAUGGAUUAUAAUCACAGGGCUCAGAGGGCCUGUAGGAGGUCAGGAGGUCACCCGGCACCUACUGGGUGGAUACCUAGGAGACUGGGGAACACCUUGCAAAGCACAGGACAGCCUCCCAACCCAGAACUGCACAGCCCGCAGUGCCAGCCAGCUAGUUUGGGAGAUUCUGCUGUAGUUGGAUUCACUCAUGUCACAGGAGCUUCACUAACUAAGGCCGUAGAUCCAAGAUCCAAAUCUGGUUCUGGUCUUACGUGGUACUAAUAGAUGUCGUGUUCUCUCUCCCUGUUUGCGCCGUCAGUGGCAGAAUGGCCAGGUCCUAAGAUCUUCUCCUGAGUAAUCAAAUACUCGUUCUCAAAUCCCUUCUGACAAUUUCAUACUGACGAGGUUUCCUUCAAUUAGCAUCUCACACUGGGGUCUGGGUCCAUGACAUGUCUGCAGCCCAUGGCCUGCCGCCGGUGACCAUCAGUGUGGCCGGCGAGUUAAGAAGGGGAAGCCACAGGUGUGCAUGUUUUAACUGCAGCCAGAGGCAGGAUGAUGCAGGAGGGCAGGGGGACAGGGAGGGUGACACCUGGGAUUGCUUGGCACCAACGUCAGAGCUGAACAGUACCUACUUGUGAACCCGGCAUCGGGUGCCCACAAACAGCAAAGGUAGAUUUUUACAAAACAAGCACUUGUGAGCCGGUCAAAAUCUGCAUCAGGUUCAGACGUGCAGUCGCACAGCGUUGCCUGCUCCCCGGGACCGCUCUCCACUGGCCACCUGAUUCCCACUGACCACGAGUGGGAGGGAAAUGCAAGCCAGCCGGCCGGGCCGAUUGUAGGUGUUCCUGCUUGUCUCCGCUUUUGGAUAAAUGUUCCUCAUUCGAUUGACCUUUUGGGUUGAUUUUUUGCUGCUUAAAGACCGGCCCCUCUCCUGCCUCCCCAGGAUGGUGCCUGGACACGAGGAAGGCCAGUGGGAGAAGGAUGACGCCAGUGGCAUGUCUGGCCAUCUCAGCUCUGAUGCAGUCUGCCCCGAGGGGGUGUCAGACUGGCCCCCAUGCCUCCGAUGCUGGUCUCUGUUUCUGGGAUCACCUGGGUGUACGUGGGAGGGUCCCACAACCCCUCCUUGGGCUCCCAGAGCUCAGAGAAACAUCUUUUGCAGGGUUUCUAUAAGAGGAUGCACUUUGGGGCUAGCCAGGUGGAGGGAGCCAGCACAGGGUGAAGUCUGGGGCAGGGGUGCUGACCUCCCUGAAUUUGUGCACCUCCCUGGAAGCUUCCUGAGCCCCCGCCUCUGGGUUUUUAGGAAGCUUCAGGACAGAUGCCUAAUGGGCGGAAUCUUUGGCUGCUGACUAUGGGUUCCCAGGUGUGUGAGGGGGAGGGUGGCACUGGGAGAUCAGCCCACUCAUUCCUGGCUUGUUCCCCUGGCAACCACUUGGGUCACCUAGGGGCUUUCCAGAGCCACCUCGUUAACAUAACAAGAGAACCAUACUUUCUUCCACUGCCUAGAAACCUGCCUAGGUUUUGGGAGCUCUGAGCCCAGAAACGGGCCCAAGAGCCAGAAAGCAUUGUUGUUAUAAAUCAUGGUGUCUGGGGCCGGCUGGUGCCCUUGGUGGGGGUCCUGCUCCCCCUGGGAGGUCUGACUGUGCGGUGUCAGCCCAUUCCCCUCCUAUAGUCGGGGUCCCGGGGGCUCCCUGGCCUGAGCCUGCAGCUCUGACAGCUCUGGGUGGGAUUGACCUGCCCAGUCCCUGCUCCCCAUGGGCAGGAGUCCCUGAGGCUAUGCCAUCUCCCCUCUCCCUGCCCCCAGGCUCUGUGUGGCCACCAUCAUCCUGCUCCUGGGUCCCCAAUGCCAGGCCAGGCACGGAUGCCCUCCGCUCUGGCUUCUUUAGCCUCUGCGGCUUUACUACUGUUCCUGCUCCUGCCACUGCUGAGCCUUCCUGAGGGGCUACUUUAGAAGUCCCAGGACCUGACCUUUGCUCCAUCCCUGCUUCUUCCCCUGUCUUUCUGCUGGUGGCCCAGAGGCAGCCCCAUGUCUCCUUUCCAUGUUUGGAAGCACCCACAAGCUAGAGCUUGAGUUCUUGCUACCCAGGUGUUCAACCUUCAGGCUCCGAAUUUGACAUGUAAAGGGAAUUUCUGAUGUAGCAAUUUUGUCCUAACAAAGCCUGACUCAGGAUGACUGUCUCUUGGUGGACUUAAAACCUCUCUGACUGAGCUUCUCACUGCUAGGGUUGGGUAUGUUUGGCGUUUACUGGGAGUUCCUGGAUGCCAUGUGGGCAGGGCCCUAAGGGAUCAAUAUUUAAGUGGAAUUUAAAAAUCACUUUAUUAUUUUAAUAACUGAUUAAACCCGAGUACGGAUAAGAAAAACAAAGCUCAACUGGUUCCCCAACUGCCCCUGAGGUCAGUGACCACAGCCCCCCAUUCUAGCUCUAAUUCACGGCUGGAUUUUGCUGGAAGGUGGCCAGUGAGGAGGAACUUACCCAUCAAGAUUUUCUCUGGUUUUUCCGCCCACCUUAUUCACCACCAGAAGCCUUUUUUUUAAAAUUUUUAUUUAUUUAUGAUAGUCACAGAGAGAGAGAGAGAGGCAGAGACACAGGCAGAGGGAGAAGCAGGCUCCAUGCAGGGAGCCUGACGUGGGAUUCGAUCCCAGGUCUCCAGGAUCGCGCCCUGGGCCAAAGGCAGGCGCCAAACCACUGCGCCACCCAGGGAUCCCACCAGAAGCCUUUUGUACCCAAACAGCCCCUUGGCUGCUUUUGGAAAUUAAAACUAGGGUCAAAGUUCAAAGCUGUGUCCCUCCUGAGAGGAAUCCAGCGAAUGUGCCACGGGCUUCAAGGCAGGUCCCAAACAAGUUCCUGAAAUGUUCUGAGCAGCAGAAUAAAUGUCUUUCCUCCCACGAGGACUGUUUGGAAGGGAAAAUGCUUAUUUGGAUGUGUUCCGGUCCUGACAGUCCACUCACACCUGAUGUGGGCCCUGGCGGAAAUCCACACACCUGCGCGUGCAGCCCCUGCUCGAGCCCUGCGCUGGCCACUGGCACCAGGAGGACCUGUGAGAGGUCAUAAGUGAGCAGAUGAAAAGAAAACUGAACUCUGCCAGCUGGGCAGCCCUGUUUGAUGUCAGCAACCCAGGGCCGUGGAGUCUCCGGGGUGCCUUGGAUUCUAAUGUAAUGUCUGCGGAGUAUUCGGGGAGGGCUGCUGGAGGCCGCGGAGCCAGCAGCGAGAACGUCCGUGCAGAGGGCACCCUGCGUCAGCGCCCGUGCCUGUGCCAGGGAGCCUUCCCUCAUUACCUGCCCGCGCCCUGGAUGCUGGCAGAGGAGGGAACUGUCAGGCCCAGCACCUGUCCUCCUGGGCUCCAUGGCCCCGCAGGCCAGGGAGACUCAGGAGCAAAUGUUCAAGGGGUCACCGGGGGUUUGCACAAGAACAAACCGUAAUCUGUCAAU
Long non-coding RNA from Nyctereutes procyonoides (raccoon dog), 4156 nucleotides. RefSeq lists it as uncharacterized. The transcript has 2 exons. The record is from RefSeq and is a predicted model, not a curated record. Lineage: Eukaryota; Metazoa; Chordata; Mammalia; Carnivora; Canidae.